This is a long non-coding RNA of Astatotilapia calliptera (eastern happy), 337 nucleotides long. NCBI's taxonomy places the organism in Eukaryota, Metazoa, Chordata, Actinopteri, Cichliformes, Cichlidae. The record is from Ensembl.
AAGGAAGAGGACGUGGUGGAGAAAGAGGACGUGGUGAAGGAGGUGGAGAACGACGGCGACAAGGAAGGGGAAGAGCAAGGGCAAGAAGACAGUCAGUCUCGGAUGAAAUUCGAGCCACUUUAGUUCACCAUGUCCUUGUCCAUGGGAUGACUAUGAGGGAGGCUGGGCAACGAGUACAACCAAAUUUGAGUCGCUUCACUGUUGCCUCCAUCAUCAGAACCUUCAGGGAGGAAAACAGGACACAGAGACGACCACCUGGUGGAGGCAGGUUAAGGCUUUUGUCGGAGGAGCAAGAGAGGGAACUUGUAAACAUGAGAAUCUUUGAGAUUGAAGGACG